AGCGGAGGAAAAGAAACUAACAAGGAUUCCCCUAGUAACUGCGAGUGAAGCGGGAAGAGCUCAAAUUUGAAAUCUGGCGGUUCCGCCGUCCGAGUUGUAAUCUGGAGAAGCGUUUUCCGUGCCGGACCGUGUACAAGUCCCUUGGAACAGGGCGUCAUAGAGGGUGAGAAUCCCGUCUUUGACACGGACUCCCGGUGCUCUGCGAUGCGCUCUCGAAGAGUCGAGUUGUUUGGGAAUGCAGCUCAAAAUGGGUGGUAAAUUCCAUCUAAAGCUAAAUAUUGGCGAGAGACCGAUAGCGAACAAGUACCGUGAGGGAAAGAUGAAAAGCACUUUGGAAAGAGAGUAAAACAGUACGUGAAAUUGUUGAAAGGGAAACGCUUGAAGUCAGUCGCGUCUUCUGGGACUCAGCCUUGCUCUGCUUGGUGCAUUUCCCAGUUUGACGGGUCAGCAUCGGCUCUGGGGGGCGGACAAAGGCGCGGGGAAGGUGGCAGCUCCGGCUGCGUUAUAGCCCCGCGUUACGCGUCCCCCGGGACCGAGGAAUCCGGCGCUCGCGCCUGGGAUGCUGGCGUAAUGGCUUUAAACGACCCGUCUU
RNAcentral lists this ribosomal RNA (592 nucleotides) under Subulicystidium brachysporum. RNAcentral's name for it is "LSU rRNA". It matches the Rfam family "Eukaryotic large subunit ribosomal RNA", at positions 49 to 655 of the family's 3401-position model. The record is from RNAcentral. Lineage: Eukaryota; Fungi; Basidiomycota; Agaricomycetes; Trechisporales; Hydnodontaceae.